This 4033-nucleotide long non-coding RNA is filed under the name Nicotiana benthamiana. RNAcentral's name for it is "long non-coding RNA (NBEN_LNC003080)". The record is from RNAcentral. Lineage: Eukaryota; Viridiplantae; Streptophyta; Magnoliopsida; Solanales; Solanaceae.
AGUUUUCCUAAAGGUUCUACAGCAUCUCGAGGAUAAAUACAGACGUCUCCGUACCGAUCUGCGAGACUCUACUAAAGCGACUCAUGAUUCGUGAGACCAAGUAACCUAGGCUCUGAUACCAACUUGUGACGACCCCAACCUCGGCCAUGAUAGUGCCCAACACUCUUCUAGGCAAGCCCGACCUUUUCAAAAAUAUUUUCCAACUUAAGCAGAUUAUGGAUAUACAACACAUGGAAAAAGUAUAUUAAAACUAUAAUGUAGAAAGUCUAGGAAUACAAAUAAAAUAUGCGAAAGUUCAAUUUAAAGUACUGCAACAUAGCCCAAUAGAAUCCGGUGUCACAAAUCUGAACCUCUAAUAAAGAAUAUCCACCUAUUACACGUCUGCCUAGGAAAAUGCAAAAUAACAAGAUAGAGAUAGAGGGGAGAGAUCAAGGCUGCGAAUGCCAUGCAGCUACCUCGAUACUCCCGGAUACCGCUGCUUAGCUAAACAAAUCCUCACUCAGCCUGUGGUGUACCUGGAUCUGCACGCAAGCUACAGAGAGUUGAGUACUUCGACCCAGUGAGUAAUAAACAUAAAUAAAGGCCGAGGAUAAGAAAUCGUGGAAAAAUAUAAAAUAAAAAUAAAACUAGCAAGUCAGAGCAUUUAAUAAUGAAACAACCAGCCAAUGAAACAAGUGUACAACUUCUAAGACAGGUAAAACAGGUAAGGAGCAAAUGCAUGAAUGAAAUGCAAUGCAUAUGAUGGUACACUCUAGUACCCACUGCGGUGUAUAGCCUGAGCCAUUCAUAUUUAUUUAUCGUCCACGGUGCUCACUAGGGGUGUUUACAGACUCCGGAGGGGUUCCUACAACCCAAGCGCAAUAUCAAGCCAUCUCGUGGCAUCAACCAGGCUCUCGGCCUCAAUAUCAAUAUAAUCAACCAGGCCCUCGGCCUCAAUAUAAAUUUAAUACUGCUGCGGCGCGCAGCCCGAUCCAUCCUCAAUCCAUAAAAUCAUCAUAAGCCCUUUGGUCAAUUGUAAAACAGUAGUUCUCAGCCUAAAAUAGCAUUUAGAAAUAUCAUUUAAGUUUUCAAAGCUUAGAAAGAUGGCUGAGUUUGCAAAAUAGUAUUUAAAACCUUGGACCGAGAUCAAAUAAUAUGCAAAAUAUGCAAAAACUGUGAUAUCAAUCCCCGAAGGAUUCAAAUAAUUGGCAAGAAGCCAAAAUAUAGCAAUUAAAUUCAAGUAGGAUGAUUAUUAAAUAAGUUCUAGUUGAAAACACAGUAGAAACAUCUCUUGGGACGGACCAAGUCACAAUUCCCAAUAACAAACGUCCCUGCAUUCGUCAUAGAGCACGUGUCUCGCCUCAAAAUGGCAUUACGAUGUGAAAUUUUGGGGUUUCAAACCCUCAGGACUUCAUUUACAUCCAUUACUCACCUCAAACCGGCCAAAGUCUAGCUAGCUAUGCCCUUGCCUCUCGAAUCGACCUCCUCACGCGUCAAAUAUGACCAAAAUCACAACGAAUCCUUCACAAUAUACCAAGGGAACAAAACCCAAUCAAAAUAAUCGAAAAACAACAAGAAUCCCCGAAAUUAGCAGAACCCGAGCCACGGGCCCACUUCUUGAAACUCCGAAACUUUUACACCAACGGAUUCCUUAUCUCGCCACAAGUUUAUGCAUAUCAAAUUCACAAGCAUCGAAGUCCAUUUGGCACUUCAAAUCCCUACUUUAAACUCUCUUAACUUCAAACCCUAAUCCACCAUUUUUGACCUUUAAUCCCUUGAUUAUUUAUUCUAAAUUCAUGUAUUUGCACCAUAGAAUCAUGUUAUUAAGUCGAUCCCCUCAAAUCCCUCGUCUAAACUCUCUUAAGAUCAAACCCUAAUACACCAUUUUUGACCCGUUUAUUCGUUGAUUAUUCCAUCUAAAUUCAUGUAUUUGCACCAUAAAAUCAUGUUAUUAAGUCAAGAAUUCAUACCUGAUCAAAGCCUUUGAAACCCUCUUCAAAAUCGCCCAAAAACUCACUAAGUCCGAGAUGAAACAUGAUACUCUUUCAAAACUUCGCGAAGUAAAAUUAAAUAUAAUUGACCAGCAGAAACCGCUUCUGUGGUAAACAUGUCGCUCUGCAACUUUCGCUUCUCUAGUCCAUGUCCACUUCUGCGGACCCUCACUUAAUGGUGCCGGCUGCUUCUGCGGCCCAUAUUACGCACCAGCGGGACUGCUUCUGCGGUCCGACCUUCCGCUUAUGCUUAAGCCCAACUCAAAUACAUAACCACUUAUGUGGUUCCCAAAUCACAUAAGCAAUACCGUUUCUGCGGUCCAAAUUUCGCAGAAGCGAAAACAUACCAAAAACAGUAGUCAUUGCACAACACAAGUCCAAAUCCUUCCGUUAUAACCAUCAAAACUCACCCCGAGGUCCCCGGGACCUCAACCAAAAAUACAGACAUGGACCAAUACCCUAUUCAAACUCGUUCCAAUCAUAAAAAUACAUCUCACAAAAAAAAUCCUCAAUUCUCAUCAAAUUCAAGCCUAAGUUCUUCAAAUUCUUCUGAAACUCGCAUUCGAUCAAAAACCCAACCAAAUUACCUCCGAAUCAUCUAAAAUUUUGCAUACAUAUCCCAAAUCACCUAUUGAAGCCACUGCAACUCUCGGAAUCCCAUUCCGACCCUUGGAUCAAAAUCUCACCUAUCAACCGGAUAUCGCCAAAAUGCUAACUUCGCCAACUCAAGCCUAAUUCUACACCGGGCCUCCAAAAUAAAUUUUGAUAACAAUCCUAAAUCACAAAUCACUCCCCUAAGCUAAUCGAAUCACUGGAAAUCACAUCCGAGCCUCCUAACUCAUAAGUCAACAUCCGAUUGACUUUUUCAAGCCAAAUCUCCCUUUAAGAGACUAAAUAUCUCAUUUCCUAUCAAAACCAAUCCAAUUCAACUCUAACACACCAAUUGUAGAUAAUAAAACAUGAAGAAGUAUAAAAUGCGGAACACAGACUGGUUCUCAUGAGAGGACGGGUCGAUUCGUCAUAAUGUGCUUGUGAAAUUAACAUUAAUUCAAAUCUUCCUUAGCUUUAGAACUGAUAUGUACACUUAAUUUUUGCUCAUUCUAUAUGUUGCUUGCAUUAUGCCAUUCAACAUUGUUUAUAUAUUUCUUAUCAGAUUGGACACUAAAUAGAACUGGGCAUGUCACACAUGCCCAUAUCUAAGGCACGAAAAUAUCAAAUUAGACAUGAAUUUUUUUAAAUAAAUUCAUACUUUUUGUGUAACCCAUGAGAGGAAAAUAAAAUAAAGAAGGUCAGUGAAAUUAAAAGGCACAUAUGUUGGAUUACAGAGCUAUCCCAAAUUGUGAAACAUCAUAAUUGAAACCUAAUUUUCUCAGUCAAAAUCUAAUUAUCACAGUCCAAAAACGUCAAAUUGAUUCUUAAUGCACUUUAAACGAGUUGAAAAUGAUGAAAAGUAGGAUUAAAUCCUGAAAAGCGCGAAAUGAAGCGCAUAAAAACAGAGGCAUAACAGUAUAUCCUCAAUUAGGUUAGAUUUUUAAGCGAAAGCAAGCUAAAUAUUUCAUGAAAGAUUCAAAACAUCAUAAGAAUACCAUCAUAACUCUAAAUAAUAUUUAUAAUCACAAAAGAAUAAGAAAUCUAAUAGAAAUUUUGAUUGAAGAAUUUUGUCAAACACCCUGAGAACAAAAUUUAUUAACAUAUUUCACUUUGUCUGCAAUAAUCCCCUCACUAUUCAUGGAAAAAUACAAAUACCUAGCAUAUUAUCAAGUAUUGGAAUAAAUUAAGACAAAAAAUAUAAGAUGAGAAGAAGAUUACCAGUGGCCAGUAGAAAAUACCAAUAGACACAGGGGAGGAGCAAGAGCGUGUAGAUAUGAAGCAAAGAGGCGUUUAAAGAAGAGGGCUUUGCAGAUGAAGCUCUUUACAAAUAUUGGAUGUUAGUAAGAGAAACCAAACAGUGAGUUGACAUCUAUUAAAAUUGGGCUACACGUGUUAGGCUGCAAAUAUAAGCCAUGAGAAUAUUUUGGGCCAGACAGACAUGUUGACCAUGAGUUGUCUGGUUAUUCCCAUUU